GACGAACGCUGGCGGCGUGCCUGAUACAUGCAAGUCGAACGCUUCUUUCCUCCCGAGUGCUUGCACUCAAUUGGAAAGAGGAGUGGCGGACGGGUGAGUAACACGUGGGUAACCUACCCAUCAGAGGGGGAUAACACUUGGAAACAGGUGCUAAUACCGCAUAACAGUUUAUGCCGCAUGGCAUAAGAGUGAAAGGCGCUUUCGGGUGUCGCUGAUGGAUGGACCCGCGGUGCAUUAGCUAGUUGGUGAGGUAACGGCUCACCAAGGCCACGAGGCAUAGCCGACCUGGGAGGGGGAUCGGCCACACGGGGAGUGAGACACGGCCCAGACUCCUACGGGAGGCAGCAGUAGGGAAUCUUCGGCAAUGGACGAAAGUCUGACCGAGCAACGCCGCGUGAGUGAAGAAGGUUUUCGGAUCGUAAAACUCUGUUGUUAGAGAAGAACAAGGACGUUAGUAACUGAACGUCCCCUGACGGUAUCUAACCAGAAAGCCACGGCUAACUACGUGCCAGCCGCCGCUGUAA
RNAcentral lists this ribosomal RNA (524 nucleotides) under uncultured bacterium. Its description in RNAcentral is "partial 16S ribosomal RNA". It matches the Rfam family "Bacterial small subunit ribosomal RNA", at positions 28 to 523 of the family's 1533-position model. The record is from RNAcentral.